RNAcentral lists this long non-coding RNA (270 nucleotides) under Gallus gallus (chicken). Lineage: Eukaryota; Metazoa; Chordata; Aves; Galliformes; Phasianidae. The record is from RNAcentral.
GCUGCUAUCAGGUCACCUCAGAGCCAUCUCUACUCCAUGCUGAACAGCCCCAGUUCUCUCAGCCUGUCCUUGUAGGAGAGGUGUUCCAUCCUUUGGAUAACUUUUGUGACCCUCCUCUGGACAUACUGCAACAGAUCUGUGUCUCUCCUGUACUGAGGACUCCGCAUCUGGACUCAGUACUCCAAGUGAGACCUCACCAGCACAGAGCUUCCAUUGCAGGGUGCCUGCAUCCAUACUGCCUAUUGAGAAUGAUCCCUGAUGCAUGCUAAC